Molecule: long non-coding RNA, 603 nt
Organism: Haplochromis burtoni (Burton's mouthbrooder)
Lineage: Eukaryota; Metazoa; Chordata; Actinopteri; Cichliformes; Cichlidae
Exons: 3
Source: RefSeq, a predicted model, not a curated record
CAAGACUAGUUUGGCUUUUUUGAGUUCUCUUUUCUUGAACAGUACAGGCUAGAAUAGAUUUGCCACUGGCUAAAGAAGAGUUACUGUAUCUGCAUCUACCAAAAUAUCCAUCUGUUAAUCUCGGACUCAGGCGGAAAGUUCUGAACUUUGAUGCACUUGUGAACACAUCUGUUGAAGCCAUGAUGUGGCGGCCCUUCAUCUUCAGCUGCUUAAUCGCAUGCACAGGAAAGCUUGUGAGCACUUCAUGUCCAUUUGACAUAACCCCUCCUAGAGUUGUGGUGAGAUUUGGAGACUCCUUAUCAGCAAACUGCACCUCACUAUCUGACCAGACUGAUGGAAUGGGAUGGGAGUGUCCAUAUGGAGGAUUGGACCUUACCCAGGGUGUUUCUUCUCUUCUAUUUAAAAUUGACUCUGUGCCAGGGUGGGAGUUAGGGCCAAUGUGUUUUGUAAAUCUCCAUGAUGGUGAUAGUGUGUGAAAACAUUGCCAGUCACUGUUUAUAAAAUGCCAGACAGUGUGUCUCUGAAGAAUUUACGUACAGUGGAAGAAGGCCGACAGUUUGUCAUACAGUGUGAUGUUGUUAAUGUUGCACCAGCAAGAAAUCU